GCCGCGUUAGCUCAGCCUGGUAGAGCGUUCGACUGUUAAUCGAUUGGUCAUCAGUUCAAAUCUGAUACACGGCGCCU
RNAcentral lists this transfer RNA (77 nucleotides) under Candidatus Nitrosopelagicus brevis. RNAcentral describes it as "tRNA-Asn". It matches the Rfam family "tRNA". From Rfam's summary of the family: Transfer RNA (tRNA) molecules are approximately 80 nucleotides in length. Their secondary structure includes four short double-helical elements and three loops (D, anti-codon, and T loops). Lineage: Archaea; Thermoproteati; Nitrososphaerota. The record is from RNAcentral.